This 449-nucleotide ribosomal RNA is filed under the name uncultured bacterium. RNAcentral's name for it is "bacterial SSU rRNA". It matches the Rfam family "Bacterial small subunit ribosomal RNA", at positions 329 to 797 of the family's 1533-position model. The record is from RNAcentral.
CUCCAGACUCCUACGGGAGGCAGCAGUGGGGAAUAUUGCACAAUGGGGGAAACCCUGAUGCAGCGACGCCGCGUGAGCGAUGAAGUAUUUCGGUAUGUAAAGCUCUAUCAGCAGGGAAGAAGAUGACGGUACCUGACUAAGAAGCCCCGGCUAACUACGUGCCAGCAGCCGCGGUAAUACGUAGGGGGCAAGCGUUAUCCGGAUUUACUGGGUGUAAAGGGAGCGUAGACGGCGAUGCAAGCCAGAUGUGAAAGCCCGGGGCUCAACCCCGGGACUGCAUUUGGAACUGUGUGGCUGGAGUGUCGGAGAGGCAGGCGGAAUUCCUAGUGUAGCGGUGAAAUGCGUAGAUAUUAGGAGGAACACCAGUGGCGAAGGCGGCCUGCUGGACGAUGACUGACGUUGAGGCUCGAAAGCGUGGGGAGCAAACAGGAUUAGAUACCCCUGUACCA